AGUGAACGCUGGCGGUAGGCCUAACACAUGCAAGUCGAACGGCAGCACAGUAAGAGCUUGCUCUUACGGGUGGCGAGUGGCGGACGGGUGAGGAAUACAUCGGAAUCUACUUUUUCGUGGGGGAUAACGUAGGGAAACUUACGCUAAUACCGCAUACGACCUACGGGUGAAGGCAGGGGGUCUUCGGACCUUGCGCGAUUGAAUGAGCCGAUGUCGGAUUAGCUAGUUGGCGGGGUAAAGGCCCACCAAGGCGACGAUCCGUAGCUGGUCUGAGAGGAUGAUCAGCCACACUGGAACUGAGACACGGUCCAGACUCCUACGGGAGGCAGCAGUGGGGAAUAUUGGACAAUGGGCGCAAGCCUGAUCCAGCCAUACCGCGUGGGUGAAGAAGGCCUUCGGGUUGUAAAGCCCUUUUGUUGGGAAAGAAAAGCAGCAGGUUAAUACCCCGCUGUUCUGACGGUACCCAAAGAAUAAGCACCGGCUAACUUCGUG
RNAcentral lists this ribosomal RNA (492 nucleotides) under uncultured bacterium. Its description in RNAcentral is "partial 16S ribosomal RNA". It matches the Rfam family "Bacterial small subunit ribosomal RNA", at positions 29 to 507 of the family's 1533-position model. The record is from RNAcentral.